GGUCCAGAGAUUUAAUUCAGACAACAUCAAUUUGUAAACUCAAAAUAGUGUGUCUAUUUUUGUUUUUUUUGGCAAAGCUGUAGACAAAACAGUAUGCAAUUGAACAGAGACUUAUUAAUGAAAUCAAUCUCCCGAAACUUUUAGAAUUAUCAAUUUCGCUAACAAAUUCUUCAAUUAUUCAUGCUCCGCUAUUCAUGUCAAAUCCGAAAGGCAGAUGAGGGAGAAUAUUUAGAAUUUUUUAUUAUCAUGCUCCAUCUAAGCGGAUUCAGAUUAACUUCACAAAAGAGAAAGCAAUUUUAUUUGCGCAGUAUUGAUCUUGAGCUGAGCUGCAGAACAGUAAGCUUUUGAAGUAAUUUAGUUUAAACAACAUGACCAUUUGACCAAUACAGACAGAAUCAACGCCCAAGUCCAGCAACCUUACUGUUCAGCCUAUAUUCAUAUAUCUUUCUUUUUCUGCAGGGAACUAUAUUCAUAUAUCACUAGACUUGUUCAUGGAUCACAAUCCAGCAACCUAAUCGCAACAAAAUUAAACCAAAUUAUGACGAAUCCAACAUCCUAACAAUUUUUUUUUUUUGAGAAACUCCUAACAAAUAAAUCAUCCAGCCCAAACUAUAAUCAACCAUCGAAGCACAUUGAGGUGACAGCCUAACAGGCCAGCGGCCCAGGUUAGAAAAUCUAACAGCAAACCGAUUAAACUAGGCCCAGGCAUGCCAGUGAGGCAGUGAAUCAAUCAGAUCGGGAAAAACGAAUCGUACGCCUUCGUCUCGACGGCACGCGCGAUCUCCAGAGCCAGCUAUCCACCGCACGGGGCC
RNAcentral lists this long non-coding RNA (812 nucleotides) under Brachypodium distachyon (stiff brome). RNAcentral's name for it is "long non-coding RNA (BDIS_LNC000388)". Lineage: Eukaryota; Viridiplantae; Streptophyta; Magnoliopsida; Poales; Poaceae. The record is from RNAcentral.